UCGCGUGACCUUCGAUUAAGCGAAGUGAUUUAUUUAAGUAAAAAUUAUAUAAAUUAACAUAUCUUUAAAUUAACCAAGUGUUUGUAUUGUUUUCUUGGAGAGUUAAAUUUAAAAAUAUAUUGGAGUAUUUUUAGUUUGCCUUUGUUGAAACUAGGUUGUGUUUGUAUUUCUACUUGAGUCAAGUAGAUAUGAUUAAAAUGAUAAAGUUUUUAUGGUGUGGUUAUUUAGAUUAAAUAGCUUCAUUGUUGAGUAAACUUGAUUGCCAAAGAAACUGGAUUAAGUUUUUAAUUCUACUUGAUCAACUGCUUUUAUCAACUGCUUUUAAUGCAAAAAAAUUCAUUUGGAUUUGAGAUAAGGGAACAACAUUUUCAGAGUUUUUCUUCUUUAACUCUUUUAUUAAGGAAUUACUAUAGUUAAAAAGGCUGAAAGGAAAAAAUAUGAUGAUUUUUUUCAAGAAAGUCACAAAAUAAUAAAUAAAGAUGAUAUUGAUUAUGAUGACCAAGAGAUUCAUUUUAAGACACAUCAAUCUUCAUCAUCUUAAAAUAAAAAGGAUAAAUAUGAUAGAUUUCCAUUAUUUCAAUCAAGUAAGUCUUUAGUUCAAAAUAAUAAUGUAAUGUUUGUUGUAAAAUGCUAACAUGACUGUCAAUAUUAAAAGAUUUCAUUGAAAAGAUGAGGUUCCAAUUUUAACUUUAAAUAAUCACCUGCAUGAAAUCCAUUAUUUCAAUAUUAUCAAAAUUAUAAAUCUAUGGAACAAUCUUUCUUCUCACCCUAAAUCUGAGAAAAACUGUAAUAUAUACUAAAAUAUUUAUUGUGCCUAUACCAAAAAUUAGCAUUGCCACAAUCAAGUAUUUACUUCUAUUAGUUUUUCUCUGAUUUAGGGUUAGACCAGUAAAGUUAUUAAAUUAUUAAAUUUAUGUAUUUUAAAUUUAUUUAUAUACAUAGUUUUGUCAAUACUAUGUAAAAUUUAAUUAUUGCAAGUUUGUUUAGACUUUUAAUAUUGUGUGUUGCGUCUCCUAAAUGAGAUAAAAACCCAAGGAUCCAAAAAACCUAAUAUAAAAUAAAGUGAGCAAGAAGUAGUAAUUGAAAUGAACAGCCUAAUAGAAUUUGAUAAGUUUGACUCAGCACUUGAUAAUAUUUCAUCUAGGAACUCUGCAGUUGUAAAUUGCUAAAUACCGAUUUGACAAAUUUUUUCUUUUUAUAAAAUUUUCUUUAAAAUAUAUAAUUUUUACUACUUAAUUAGGAAUUGUCAGUUUUUCCAUAAUUUCUUUCUAUUAGAAACAAAGAGUUCAAAAUAUUGGUGGAAAGAAUUGUCAAAAACUUGUGAUAGCUAUGAUGAAGAGUUUAAUGACAAAUUCAUUCAUGAUCAACUAGUCUAACCAAGCUAUACAACUUAAUAAAAGUUUGUGCAUCGACUGCUCACUAAUCAUAAACAGAGUCUAUUGUCGAAUCAAUUAUUACUGAUUCGUUAAAGAUGGCAACUUCUAAAUGUGUUAAAGUACCUUAAAUCCAACAGAUAUCAUCGCUACGAUAUUAAUUUGUUUGUAAAUUGUUUUAGAAAAUAAAUUUAAAAAUAACUUUUAAAUAAA
This is a non-coding RNA of Hydra vulgaris (swiftwater hydra), 1586 nucleotides long. The record is from RefSeq and is a predicted model, not a curated record. Lineage: Eukaryota; Metazoa; Cnidaria; Hydrozoa; Anthoathecata; Hydridae.